AAAUGCAUGCCUUAUCUCUCUCUCUUUCUCUCUAAAUUCUUGCUUCAUUAAUUCUUGUUCUUGCUAGAUUUAUAUUAAAUUCAUCAUUAUUAUCAUUAUAUAAUCAUCAUAUCAAAAUUUGAAAGCUUAGGGUGAAAGAAAACUUGAUUUAUAACUUAAUUUCGGGUUUUUAGCUUCCGUGGAGUUUCGGUCGUGAACAUUGAAGAUUCCUGGAGAUUUGUAGCCCGUUGGAUACUUAUAACUUGAUUUUAACUUGCUUCCAAUCGACAAAGGUUAACCAAAGACGUGUUGGAUGAUUUGAUUGAUUCGAUGCAUACUAGGAUUGGACUUGGGCUAUUCAUAGAUCCCGCUCAUGGGUUAUGCUUAGGAUCAUUUACCAUCUUUUGAACUAUUAUUUUGUAAACGUUUGAUGGGCGUGCUCCUUAUGCAUUAUUCUUGAUCCGAUAUUUGUUUCAGAAUGAUUUGUAUGGAUUUCCAAUCCUUUUAAUGCAUGUAGACUUGUCUAUACUUAAUUUC
Erigeron canadensis is the source of this 516-nucleotide long non-coding RNA. RefSeq lists it as uncharacterized. The record is from RefSeq and is a predicted model, not a curated record. NCBI's taxonomy places the organism in Eukaryota, Viridiplantae, Streptophyta, Magnoliopsida, Asterales, Asteraceae. The transcript has 3 exons.